Molecule: ribosomal RNA, 253 nt
Filed under: uncultured bacterium
Lineage: Bacteria
Description: partial 16S ribosomal RNA
Rfam family: Bacterial small subunit ribosomal RNA
Source: RNAcentral
UACAGAGGUGGCAAGCGUUGUUCGGAAUUACUGGGCGUAAAGGGCGCGUAGGCGGCCUUCUAAGUCAGACGUGAAAUCCCCCGGCUUAACCUGGGAACUGCGUCUGAUACUGGGAGGCUUGAGUAUGGGAGAGGGAUGUAGAAUUCCAGGUGUAGCGGUGAAAUGCGUAGAUAUCUGGAGGAAUACCGGUGGCGAAGGCGGCAUCCUGGACCAUAACUGACGCUGAGGCGCGAAAGCUAGGGAAGCAAACGGG